This 910-nucleotide ribosomal RNA is filed under the name uncultured bacterium. Its description in RNAcentral is "bacterial SSU rRNA". It matches the Rfam family "Bacterial small subunit ribosomal RNA", at positions 33 to 948 of the family's 1533-position model. The record is from RNAcentral.
ACGCUGGCGGCGUGCUUAACACAUGCAAGUCGAACGAUGAAGCCUAGCUUGCUAGGUGGAUUAGUGGCGAACGGGUGAGAAAUACGUGAGUAACCUACCUUUAACUCUGGGAUAAGCCUGGGAAACUGGGUCUAAUACCGGAUACGACCAAUCUCCGCAUGGAGUGUUGGUGGAAAGCGUUAUGUAGUGGUUAUAGAUGGGCUCACGGCCUAUCAGCUUGUUGGUGAGGUAACGGCUCACCAAGGCGACGACGGGUAGCCGGCCUGAGAGGGUGACCGGCCACACUGGGACUGAGACACGGCCCAGACUCCUACGGGAGGCAGCAGUGGGGAAUAUUGCACAAUGGGCGCAAGCCUGAUGCAGCGACGCCGCGUGAGGGAUGACGGCCUUCGGGUUGUAAACCUCCGUUAGCAGGGAAGAAGAGAAAUUGACGGUACCUGCAGAGAAAGCGCCGGCUAACUACGUGCCAGCAGCCGCGGUAAUACGUAGGGCGCGAGCGUUGUCCGGAAUUAUUGGGCGUAAAGAGCUUGUAGGCGGUUUGUCGCGUCUGCUGUGAAAGGCCGGGGCUUAACCCCGUGUAUUGCAGUGGGUACGGGCAGACUAGAGUGCAGUAGGGGAGACUGGAACUCCUGGUGUAGCGGUGGAAUGCGCAGAUAUCAGGAAGAACACCGAUGGCGAAGGCAGGUCUCUGGGCUGUAACUGACGCUGAGAAGCGAAAGCAUGGGGAGCGAACAGGAUUAGAUACCCUGGUAGUCCAUGCCGUAAACGUUGGGCACUGGGUGUGGGGGACAUUCCACGUUUUCCGCGCCGUAGCUAACGCAUUAAGUGCCCCGCCUGGGGAGUACGGCCGCAAGGCUAAAACUCAAAGAAAUUGACGGGGGCCCGCACAAGCGGCGGAGCAUGCGGAUUA